GACGAACGCUGGCGGCGUGCUUAACACAUGCAAGCCGAACGGUAAGGCCCUUCGGGGUACACGAGUGGCGAACGGGUGAGUAACACGUGGGUGAUCUGCCCUGCACUUCGGGAUAAGCCUGGGAAACUGGGUCUAAUACCGGAUAGGACCACUGCCUGCAUGGGUGGUGGUGGAAAGCUUUUGCGGUGUGGGAUGGGCCCGCGGCCUAUCAGCUUGUUGGUGGGGUAAUGGCCUACCAAGGCGACGACGGGUAGCCGGCCUGAGAGGGUGACCGGUCACACUGGGACUGAGAUACGGCCCAGACUCCUACGGGGGGCAGCAGUGGGGAAUAUUGCACAAUGGGCGCAAGCCUGAUGCAGCGACGCCGCGUGAGGGAUGACGGCCUUCGGGUUGUAAACCUCUUUCAGCUAUGACGAAGCGCAAGUGACGGUAGUAGCAGAAGAAGGACCGGCCAACUACGUGCCAGCCGCCGCAGUAA
Molecule: ribosomal RNA, 478 nt
Filed under: uncultured bacterium
Lineage: Bacteria
Description: partial 16S ribosomal RNA
Rfam family: Bacterial small subunit ribosomal RNA
Source: RNAcentral